ACGGAAGGCAGCAGUGGGGAAUAUUGCACAAUGGGCGAAAGCCUGAUGCAGCGACGCCGCGUGAGUGAAGAAGUAUCUCGGUAUGUAAAGCUCUAUCAGCAGGGAAGAAAAUGACGGUACCUGACUAAGAAGCCCCGGCUAACUACGUGCCAGCAGCCGCGGUAAUACGUAGGGGGCAAGCGUUAUCCGGAUUUACUGGGUGUAAAGGGAGCGUAGACGGUUUGGCAAGUCUGAAGUGAAAUGCGGGGGCUUAACUCCUGAACUGCUUUGGAAACUGUCGAACUAGAGUGCAGGAGAGGUAAGUGGAAUUCCUAGUGUAGCGGUGAAAUGCGUAGAUAUUAGGAGGAACACCAGUGGCGAAGGCGGCUUACUGGACUGUAACUGACGUUGAGGCUCGAAAGCGUGGGGAGCAAACAGGAUUAGAUACCCUGGUA
Molecule: ribosomal RNA, 434 nt
Filed under: uncultured Lachnospiraceae bacterium
Lineage: Bacteria; Bacillati; Bacillota; Clostridia; Lachnospirales; Lachnospiraceae
Description: bacterial SSU rRNA
Rfam family: Bacterial small subunit ribosomal RNA
Source: RNAcentral